This 398-nucleotide ribosomal RNA is filed under the name uncultured archaeon. Its description in RNAcentral is "bacterial SSU rRNA". It matches the Rfam family "Archaeal small subunit ribosomal RNA", at positions 345 to 744 of the family's 1478-position model. The record is from RNAcentral.
AACUUUUACAAUGCGGGAAACCGUGAUAAGGGAAUCUCGAGUGCCAGCAUAUAAUGUUGGCUGUCCAGAUGCCUAAAAAGCAUCUGUUAGCAAGGCCGGGCAAGACCGGUGCCAGCCGCCGCAGUAACACCGGCGGCCCGAGUGGUAACCGCUAUUAUUGGGUCUAAAGGGUCUGUAGCCGGCCAGGUAAGUCCCUUGGGAAAUCUGGCAGCUCAACUGUCAGGCUGCUAGGGGAUACUGUUUGGCUUGGGACCGGGAGAGGUGAGAGGUACCUUGGGGGUAGGGGUGAAAUCUUGUAAUCCUCGGGGGACCACCAGUGGCGAAGGCGUCUCACCAGAACGGGUCCGACGGUAAGGGACGAAAGCUAGGGGCACGGACCGGAUUAGAUACCCGGGUAG